GAUACCCGCUGAACUUAAGCAUAUCAAUAAGCGGAGGAAAAGAAACCAACCGGGAUUGCCUCAGUAACGGCGAGUGAAGCGGCAAGAGCUCAAAUUUGAAAGCUGGCCCCUCCGGGGUCCGCAUUGUAAUUUGCAGAGGAUGCUUCGGGUGCAGCCCCCGUCUAAGUGCCCUGGAAUGGGCCGUCAGAGAGGGUGAGAAUCCCGUCUGGGAUGGGGUGCCUGUGCCCGUGUGAAGCUCCUUCGACGAGUCGAGUUGUUUGGGAAUGCAGCUCUAAAUGGGUGGUAAAUUUCAUCUAAAGCUAAAUAUUGGCCGGAGACCGAUAGCGCACAAGUAGAGUGAUCGAAAGAUGAAAAGCACUUUGAAAAGAGAGUUAAACAGCACGUGAAAUUGUUGAAAGGGAAGCGCUUGCGACCAGACUCGCCUCCGGGGUUCAGCCGGCAUUCGUGCCGGUGUACUUCCCCGGGGGCGGGCCAGCGUCGGUUUGGGCGGCCGGUCAAAGGCCUCCGGAAUGUAGCGCCCUUCGGGGCGCCUUAUAGCCGGGGGUGCAAUGCGGCCAGCCUGGACCGAGGAACGCGCUUCGGCUCGGACGCUGGCAUAAUGGUCGUAAACGACC
Molecule: ribosomal RNA, 614 nt
Filed under: Aspergillus iizukae
Lineage: Eukaryota; Fungi; Ascomycota; Eurotiomycetes; Eurotiales; Aspergillaceae
Description: eukaryotic LSU rRNA
Rfam family: Eukaryotic large subunit ribosomal RNA
Source: RNAcentral